UCCUACGGGAAGCAGCAGUGAGGAAUAUUGGUCAAUGGGCGAGAGCCUGAACCAGCCAAGUCGCGUGAAGGAAGAAGGAUCUAUGGUUCGUAAACUUCUUUUGCAGGGGAAUAAAGUGCAGGACGUGUCCUGUUUUGUAUGUACCCUGAGAAUAAGGAUCGGCUAACUCCGUGCCAGCAGCCGCGGUAAUACGGAGGAUCCGAGCGUUAUCCGGAUUUAUUGGGUUUAAAGGGUGCGUAGGUGGUUUGAUAAGUCAGCGGUGAAAGUUUGCAGCUUAACUGUAAAAAUGCCGUUGAAACUGUCGGACUUGAGUGUAAAUGAGGUAGGCGGAAUGCGUGGUGUAGCGGUGAAAUGCUUAGAUAUCACGCAGAACUCCGAUUGCGAAGGCAGCUUACUAAGCUACAACUGACACUGAAGCACGAAAGCGUGGGGAUCAAACAGGAUUAGAUACCCUGGUAGUCCACGCAGUAAACGAUGAUUACUAGCUGUUUGCGAUACACAGUAAGCGGCACAGCGAAAGCGUUAAGUAAUCCACCUGGGGAGUACGCCGGCAACGGUGAAACUCAAAGAAAUUGACGGA
Molecule: ribosomal RNA, 580 nt
Filed under: uncultured Bacteroidota bacterium
Lineage: Bacteria; Pseudomonadati; Bacteroidota
Description: bacterial SSU rRNA
Rfam family: Bacterial small subunit ribosomal RNA
Source: RNAcentral